Molecule: long non-coding RNA, 608 nt
Organism: Rhipicephalus microplus (southern cattle tick)
Lineage: Eukaryota; Metazoa; Arthropoda; Arachnida; Ixodida; Ixodidae
Source: RefSeq, a predicted model, not a curated record
UUACCGUAGAAAGGAUUGAGCACUUAAGUCUGCGUCUACAGGACGUGACAAGGAGACGAGAAAGCAAAGAAGGUUUCCCGAUCACCGCCUAUCUGUGACGAUAAAUGAAGGAUCGCCAAGAAGAGCCGGACGUCUUCACAUCACCAGAAGUGCGCGUAAACAUAUCGACAUAGCAGUGACAGUGAGCAAACUUUUGUCAGCGAAAAUAAAGUGGUACGGCAAACAAACGUGAUUGCAUACAUAUACGAUGCCGCACGAAAUGUCCUUCAAAACAAUCGACAGGUGAAUGCUAUCUUUUGCUUACAAGCCCGCCUAUUUGCUUUUCGAGAAUGCGCGUCGUGUCGCCCCAGUUAUUGCUCGUAGAAGUCGACAUUUAUGCAAAUGUGGAAUUUGUCGGCUGCACCCGGAUGUACAAGACUACAUCACGAACGCGCGUAACUCUUUGUGAAUGCAAGCAAUCAACAGGGUGGCGAAAAGCGGAAAGACCGACUGUACAAAACAAAAACAAACUCUUUAUGUCGCGAAGGUCGACUCUCUAUGUAGCACCAGACACCGCUGGAGGUUUCAAAGGGGCAAGAGCUUAAUUAAUGUACACAAUCCAAGCAUGC